RNAcentral lists this microRNA (22 nucleotides) under Chrysemys picta bellii (western painted turtle). Its description in RNAcentral is "Cpi-Mir-23-P3_5p* (star (passenger))". The record is from RNAcentral. RNAcentral also lists the same sequence under 3 other names. Lineage: Eukaryota; Metazoa; Chordata; Testudines; Emydidae.
GGGGUUCCUGGUGAUGCGAUUU